AACUCUGUAGCUCAGAGGAUAGAGCGCAAGGCUCAUAAGUUGAUCUUUCAACAAAGAAACGAAGAGGGAAACCACCAUACAAGUGGAUUCGUAACCUUGAGGUCGCUGGAUCGAAACUAGCCAGAGUUA
Molecule: transfer RNA, 129 nt
Organism: Kwoniella mangroviensis CBS 10435
Lineage: Eukaryota; Fungi; Basidiomycota; Tremellomycetes; Tremellales; Cryptococcaceae
Rfam family: tRNA
About the family: Transfer RNA (tRNA) molecules are approximately 80 nucleotides in length. Their secondary structure includes four short double-helical elements and three loops (D, anti-codon, and T loops). Further hydrogen bonds mediate the characteristic L-shaped molecular structure. tRNAs have two regions of fundamental functional importance: the anti-codon, which is responsible for specific mRNA codon recognition, and the 3' end, to which the tRNAs corresponding amino acid is attached (by aminoacyl-tRNA synthetases). tRNAs cope with the degeneracy of the genetic code in two manners: having more than one tRNA (with a specific anti-codon) for a particular amino acid; and 'wobble' base-pairing, i.e. permitting non-standard base-pairing at the 3rd anti-codon position.
Source: Rfam